This 761-nucleotide ribosomal RNA is filed under the name uncultured Methanosarcinaceae archaeon. RNAcentral's name for it is "SSU rRNA". It matches the Rfam family "Archaeal small subunit ribosomal RNA", at positions 116 to 881 of the family's 1478-position model. Lineage: Archaea; Methanobacteriati; Methanobacteriota; Methanomicrobia; Methanosarcinales; Methanosarcinaceae. The record is from RNAcentral.
UAAGUCGAGGAAUACUUCUCGGGAAACUGAGGUUAAUACUCGAUAGGAGAUUUACCCUGAAAUGAUUUAUCUCUAAAAUUCGUGCUUAAGGAUGGGGCUGCGGCGGAUUAGGUUGUUGGCGGGGUAAAAGCCCACCAAGCCGAUGAUCCGUAAGGGCUCUUAGCGGAGAGGCCCUGAGAGGGAAUCUGAGACACUAUUCCCAGCCCUACGGGGUGCAGCAGUUAGGAAUCUUCUGCAAUGCGCGCAAGCGUGACAGAUUGAGCCAGAGUGCUUUUCAUUUGAAAAGCUUUUGCCAAAUGCAAAAAGUUUGGCGAAUAAGGACUGGGUAAGACGGGUGCCAGCCGCCGCGGUAAUACCCGCGGUCCAAGUCGCAGCCAUCAUUAUUGGGUCUAAAACAUCCGUAGCUUGUUUAGUAAGUUUCUUGUGAAAUUCUAUAUCUCAAAUAUAGAGCGGGCAAGAAAUACUGCUAAACUGGAGACUGGAAGACGUAAGAAGUACGUUUGGAGUAGCGGUAAAAUGUGUUAAUCCCAGACGAACUAACAAGAGCGAAGGCAUCUUACGAGGACAGUUCUGACAGUAAGGGAUGAAGGCUAGGGGCGCAAAACGGAUUAGAUACCCGUGUAGUCCUAGCAGUAAACACUGCACACUAAACAUUAGUACCUCCUCGAGAGGUGUUAGUGCUGAAGGGAAGCCGAAGAGUGUGCUACCUGGGAAGUAUAGUCGCAAGGCUGAAACUUAAAGGAAUUGGCGGGGGAGCACAA